RNAcentral lists this microRNA (24 nucleotides) under Homo sapiens (human). Its description in RNAcentral is "hsa-miR-6738-3p". Lineage: Eukaryota; Metazoa; Chordata; Mammalia; Primates; Hominidae. The record is from miRBase by way of RNAcentral.
CUUCUGCCUGCAUUCUACUCCCAG